This 497-nucleotide ribosomal RNA is filed under the name uncultured bacterium. Its description in RNAcentral is "bacterial SSU rRNA". It matches the Rfam family "Bacterial small subunit ribosomal RNA", at positions 903 to 1397 of the family's 1533-position model. The record is from RNAcentral.
AAAGGAAUUGACGGGGGCCCGCACAAGCGGUGGAGCAUGUGGUUUAAUUCGACGCAACGCGAAGAACCUUACCGGGGUUUGACAUCCCGCGAACUCGGUGGAAACACUGAGGUGCCUUUCGGGGAACGCGGAGACAGGUGGUGCAUGGUUGUCGUCAGCUCGUGUCGUGAGAUGUUGGGUUAAGUCCCGCAACGAGCGCAACCCCUACCUUUAGUUGCCAGCGGGUAAUGCCGGGCACUCUAAAGGGACUGCCGGUGACAAACCGGAGGAAGGUGGGGAUGACGUCAAAUCAUCAUGCCCUUUAUAUCCCGGGCUACACACGUGCUACAAUGGCCGGUACAGAGGGGAGCGAACCCGCGAGGGGAAGCAAAUCCCAAAAAGCCGGUCUCAGUUCGGAUUGCAGGCUGCAACUCGCCUGCAUGAAGUCGGAAUCGCUAGUAAUCGCGGAUCAGCAUGCCGUGGUGAAUACGUUCCCGGGCCUUGUACACACCGCCCGU